Molecule: long non-coding RNA, 1638 nt
Organism: Pogona vitticeps (central bearded dragon)
Lineage: Eukaryota; Metazoa; Chordata; Lepidosauria; Squamata; Agamidae
Source: Ensembl
GAUGAGCAAGCCACUGAGAUCCAUUUACUUGGCUUUUCCAGUGAGUUUGCAAGAUUGGGGUGAGAAGGGGCGCUUCUUCUCUUCCUCCUGCCUGCCUCGCUGGGCUUUGAUGUGGAGUCCAGACAUGGAAGAAGUUCUGCUGGAUCAAACCAACAGGCCAGCCAGCCAGCUAGAUGCUUCCAGGAAGCCUACAGUCACCACCUGUUGUGGGGUACAUCUCAGCGGCUGAUUGCUGGAGACACCUCCUGAUGGAUGGCUGCAUUCGCAAGACGUUGCCCAAAGUACUUCUGCGGUCUGUUAGGAAACUGUAUUUCCUUGUCUUUCUUUGCUUUAUCAGAUUAAAACCUACUAAGAUUCCUUACCUUUAGUCUGUCCAGCAGGAGAAGUAUCGGCAGAAUUCCUCUGGUACAGCUGAGGAACAUAUAUUUUGCAUUUCUGUGGAAACUGUGCCCCUUAGUUGCCAUUGUCUAGGGCAUCUGUCUAGUGUCCAGUUCAUCUGCUUUGAUUGCACAGCUGUCCUGCCUGUACACAUCUAGGUCAGGGGUAUUUGGGGUUUUGGGGAAGGGGUCCAAAAGGACAGGAGGCUCGGAGGCCUCCUGACUCUGGUCUAGGUCAUUGGCAGGAAACCUCUUAACUGUCCAGAUGUUAUUAGACAAUAUCCUUCAUUUCUGACCGUUGGCCAUAUUGGUUGGUGCUGAGGGAAGCUGGGUUCCCUCACUAUCUGGAACACCCCUGUUUGCUUUCCACUGGAGAAACUAAUGUCGAGGGGAAAGGGCAGGAAGGCACAUUCACACAAGGGCCUGAUAGUAGUUGAUGGCUCUUGAUGUUUCCUGUCAUUGGGGGCUGUGCAGGUUUUGAGGAGAUGUUGAAUCUGUGGUUCUACCUGUGAGCACCUGUUUCUCCCUUUCUGUUUGGCCUUGUAGCUUGUACUGUUGCCCCUGCUGCCGCCCCCUCCCCAAUACACGGAGUCUCUCUGCAAUGAAGAACCAAGCAACAGGUGUAAAUCCAAGGGAAGCAACUUCAGUGUCAUCUGAGGAAAACAAAAGGUGUCCCUGUUCUCUGCUUGAUCUUCCAUACUAUUUCUUCCAGCACACCUCACUGCACCUGACAUGAGGUUUUUAGCUAUUGCCUAUAAGAACUCUUUAUGGCUCUGUGGUUGCUCACUAGGGGGUGGCUAUUCAAAGGCAGGAUGGUGCAGUGGUUAGAGUGUCAGAAUGAGGCUUGGGCAAGUCAAGUUCAGGUCCUCGCUAAGCAAAGAAACUCACUAGGUUACCUGGGACCAGCCACUGGCUGAAAUCCUGUUGUGCAGCUCCGCACCCAGAACAGCAGUAACAUCAACAGCAGCAACCAACAGCAGCAACUGAUUAAAAGCUUCCUUUGGGAAUUUCAGGGUAUGUUGUGUUCAAGUUGCAUGCACUCCAAAAUGACCUUUAAUCAAUGGUGAUGUGCCGCUGGUGAGGACAUCAUCCCCACUGGGCAUCGGGAGCUGUGCAACAGGAUUGCGGCCCCUGUUUCUGAGAGUCAGACCUGCCUCACAAGGCUGGGGUGAAGGGAAAGCCAUGUGCUUGAAUGUAUUGGUGGAAAGGUGGGAUAUAAAUCUGAUAGGUCUGUAGAUUAAUAAAUGCUAUGAUCCAAACA